This 653-nucleotide ribosomal RNA is filed under the name Inocybe rekhankitha. RNAcentral describes it as "LSU rRNA". It matches the Rfam family "Eukaryotic large subunit ribosomal RNA", at positions 77 to 704 of the family's 3401-position model. The record is from RNAcentral. Lineage: Eukaryota; Fungi; Basidiomycota; Agaricomycetes; Agaricales; Inocybaceae.
CCCCUAGUAACUGCGAGUGAAGCGGGAAAAGCUCAAAUUUGAAAUCUGGCAGUUCUCAACUGUCCGAGUUGUAAUCUAGAGAAGUGUUACCUGUGCUGGACCAUGUACAAGUCUCCUGGAAUGGAGCAUCAUAGAGGGUGAGAAUCCCGUCUUUGACAUGGACUGCCUGUGCGUUAUGGUGCGCUCUCAAAGAGUCGAGUUGUUUGGGAAUGCAGCUCAAAAUGGGUGGUAAAUGCCAUCUAAAGCUAAAUAUUGGCGAGAGACCGAUAGCGAACAAGUACCGUGAGGGAAAGAUGAAAAGAACUUUGGAAAGAGAGUUAAACAGUACGUGAAAUUGCUGAAAGGGAAACGCUUGAAGUCAGUCGCAUCAGCCAGAAAUCAGCCUUGCUUUUGCUUGGUGUAUUUUUUGGUUUCUGAUGGGUCAGCAUCAAUUUUGACCAUUUCAUAAAGUCUUUGGGAAUGUGGCAUCCUCGGAUGUGUUAUAGCCCAUUGUCGUAUACGGUGGUUGGGAUUGAGGAACUCAGCACGCUCUGCAAGGGGCCAGGUCUAUUAGACCAUGUUCGUGCUUAGGAUGCUGGCAUAAUGGCUUUAAUCGACCCGUCUUGAAACACGGACCAAGGAGUCUAACAUGCCUGCGAGUGUUUGGGUGGAAA